Molecule: ribosomal RNA, 512 nt
Filed under: uncultured bacterium
Lineage: Bacteria
Description: bacterial SSU rRNA
Rfam family: Bacterial small subunit ribosomal RNA
Source: RNAcentral
GGACGUAGUUUGAAUCACUGGCUCAGGAUGAACGCUAGCUACAGGCUUAACACAUGCAAGUCGAGGGCAGCGCAGUGUAGCAAUACAGUGGGCGGCGACCGGCGCACGGGUGCGUAACGCGUAUCCAACCUUCCCGUUACUCAGGGAUAGCCUUCCGAAAGGGAGAUUAAUACCUGAUGGUGUUUGAAUUCCGCAUGUUAUUCAAACUAAAGAUUCAUCGGUAACGGAUGGGGAUGCGUGACAUUAGAUAGUAGGCGGGGUAACGGCCCACCUAGUCUACGAUGUCUAGGGGUUCUGAGAGGAAGGUCCCCCACACUGGAACUGAGACACGGUCCAGACUCCUACGGGAGGCAGCAGUGAGGAAUAUUGGUCAAUGGUCGGAAGACUGAACCAGCCAAGUAGCGUGAAGGAUGAAGGUUCUAUGGAUUGUAAACUUCUUUUAUACGGGAAUAAAACCUCCCACGUGUGGGAGCUUGUAUGUACCGUAUGAAUAAGCAUCGGCUAACUCCGUG